This is a non-coding RNA of Dermacentor albipictus, 641 nucleotides long. Lineage: Eukaryota; Metazoa; Arthropoda; Arachnida; Ixodida; Ixodidae. The record is from RefSeq and is a predicted model, not a curated record.
CCCCGCUCCAGAUCCCGGAAUCCAUCACGCUCGAGGCAACAUUGUUUCCGGACCCCUUCACGUUCGAGACAGUGCCGUUCCCGAUCCAGAUCUGCUUCUGCCCCACCCGCCAAGUCUCCUACUACCAAGGUCAUGCAGAUGAAAGCAGCAGUUUCACAAUGCCCAGCCUUGGUGCCCUCCAUCAAGAGCAAGCCACUUGCGUUCGCCUUCAGGCAGAUGAUUGAUGUCUUCUUGAAAGCAGUUGGGAAGACGACAUUGAUGCAAGAUUUCAGCAGUGCCAUGCGCUACCUUUAUUGGUCAAGAUGCCCAGAGAACGGAGUCCCUGCACCUCGUGCUUAACCGUGAACAAUUUUUUUCUAUUGGAAAGCUAAACGCCAUUUGCUGUAGAAAUUGCAUUUUUGCAGCUCAGAUGUGCACUAUAUUAUUUUCUAAUUUUGAAUCAAUUAAUAUUCACUGUUCAGUAUAAAAAAUGAUGUACAGUGUGAAGGACAAGGACUGCGAGAGACGACAUACACUGCGCUGACUUCCAAUGUUUGUACACAAGAGGGUUCAUGCGCAGAAAAGGAAAGGCAGUCACAAGGGGUGUUCUAACAAUAAGUCAUUGUACUCAAGAACAUGGUCACUUGAAAAAAACCAUCACA